This 468-nucleotide ribosomal RNA is filed under the name uncultured bacterium. Its description in RNAcentral is "partial 16S ribosomal RNA". It matches the Rfam family "Bacterial small subunit ribosomal RNA", at positions 28 to 507 of the family's 1533-position model. The record is from RNAcentral.
GACGAACGCUGGCGGCGUGCCUAACACAUGCAAGUCGAACGGAAAGGCCCUGCUUUUGUGGGGUGCUCGAGUGGCGAACGGGUGAGUAACACGUGAGUAACCUGCCCUUGACUUUGGGUUAACUUCAGGAAACUGGGGCUAAUACCGGAUAGGAGCUCCUGCUGCAUGGUGGGGGUUGGAAAGUUUCGGCGGUUGGGGAUGGACUCGCGGCUUAUCAGCUUGUUGGUGGGGUAGUGGCUUACCAAGGCUUUGACGGGUAGCCGGCCUGAGAGGGUGACCGGCCACAUUGGGACUGAGAUACGGCCCAGACUCCUACGGGAGGCAGCAGUGGGGAAUAUUGCACAAUGGGCGGAAGCCUGAUGCAGCAACGCCGCGUGCGGGAUGACGGCCUUCGGGUUGUAAACCGCUUUCGCCUGUGACGAAGCGUGAGUGACGGUAAUGGGUAAAGAAGCACCGGCUAACUACGUG